RNAcentral lists this ribosomal RNA (497 nucleotides) under uncultured bacterium. Its description in RNAcentral is "partial 16S ribosomal RNA". It matches the Rfam family "Bacterial small subunit ribosomal RNA", at positions 28 to 507 of the family's 1533-position model. The record is from RNAcentral.
GAUGAACGCUGGCGGCGUGCCUAAUACAUGCAAGUCGAGCGAACGGACGAGAAGCUUGCUUCUCUGAUGUUAGCGGCGGACGGGUGAGUAACACGUGGAUAACCUACCUAUAAGACUGGGAUAACUUCGGGAAACCGGAGCUAAUACCGGAUAAUAUUUUGAACCGCAUGGUUCAAAAGUGAAAGACGGUCUUGCUGUCACUUAUAGAUGGAUCCGCGCUGCAUUAGCUAGUUGGUAAGGUAACGGCUUACCAAGGCAACGAUGCAUAGCCGACCUGAGAGGGUGAUCGGCCACACUGGAACUGAGACACGGUCCAGACUCCUACGGGAGGCAGCAGUAGGGAAUCUUCCGCAAUGGGCGAAAGCCUGACGGAGCAACGCCGCGUGAGUGAUGAAGGUCUUCGGAUCGUAAAAAUCUGUUAUUAGGGAAGAACAUAUGUGUAAGUAACUGUGCACAUCUUGACGGUACCUAAUCAGAAAGCCACGGCUAACUACGUG